This 275-nucleotide long non-coding RNA is filed under the name Zonotrichia albicollis (white-throated sparrow). RNAcentral's name for it is "lncRNA (ENSZALG00000003657.1)". The record is from RNAcentral. Lineage: Eukaryota; Metazoa; Chordata; Aves; Passeriformes; Passerellidae.
CCGCCCUCCCUAAAUAUUUUUUUUGUUUUUUAUGUUAUUGUUUCUCUGCACCAGCCUCUUAUCUUUUCUCGCAGACACUCGAGCCCGUGAAAGCAGUGGGCGUGCAGGCAGCUGCGGCAGCCCGGAGAUCUCCCUUUUCUCCCGGUCUCCUCUGAACAUCGCCGUUAACGCGCUGGCAGUGCUGGCGAUCCGGCCCCAGCUGCUGCUGCUACUGCUGGUCAUGUGAGUGGCUCAGCAAUGUGUGACACUACAAAAACUGAUGGACUCCCAAGGCA